AUCUUGUUAGUUUAAAUGAAAAAUAUGACUUUGAAGAAGUUAAGAUUGUUUAAAGAUGU
Molecule: transfer RNA, 59 nt
Filed under: Metastrongylus pudendotectus
Lineage: Eukaryota; Metazoa; Nematoda; Chromadorea; Rhabditida; Metastrongylidae
Description: tRNA-Phe
Source: RNAcentral